CGGGACACGUGGUAUCCUGUCUGAAUAUGGGGGGACCAUCCUCCAAGGCUAAAUACUCCUGACUGACCGAUAGUGAACCAGUACCGUGAGGGAAAGGCGAAAAGAACCCCGGCGAGGGGAGUGAAAAAGAACCUGAAACCGUGUACGUACAAGCAGUGGGAGCACGCUUAGGCGUGUGACUGCGUACCUUUUGUAUAAUGGGUCAGCGACUUAUAUUCUGUAGCAAGGUUAACCGAAUAGGGGAGCCGAAGGGAAACCGAGUCUUAACUGGGCGUUAAGUUGCAGGGUAUAGACCCGAAACCCGGUGAUCUAGCCAUGGGCAGGUUGAAGGUUGGGUAACACUAACUGGAGGACCGAACCGACUAAUGUUGAAAAAUUAGCGGAUGACUUGUGGCUGGGGGUGAAAGGCCAAUCAAACCGGGAGAUAGCUGGUUCUCCCCGAAAGCUAUUUAGGUAGCGCCUCGUGAAUUCAUCUCCGGGGGUAGAGCACUGUUUCGGCAAGGGGGUCAUCCCGACUUACCAACCCGAUGCAAACUGCGAAUACCGGAGAAUGUUAUCACGGGAGACACACGGCGGGUGCUAACGUCCGUCGUGAAGAGGGAAACAACCCAGACCGCCAGCUAAGGUCCCAAAGUCAUGGUUAAGUGGGAAACGAUGUGGGAAGGCCCAGACAGCCAGGAUGUUGGCUUAGAAGCAGCCAUCAUUUAAAGAAAGCGUAAUAGCUCACUGGUCGAGUCGGCCUGCGCGGAAGAUGUAACGGGGCUAAACCAUGCACCGAAGCUGCGGCAGCGACGCUGAUGCGUUGUUGGGUAGGGGAGCGUUCUGUAAGCCUGUGAAGGUGUGCUGUGAGGCAUGCUGGAGGUAUCAGAAGUGCGAAUGCUGACAUAAGUAACGAUAAAGCGGGUGAAAAGCCCGCUCGCCGGAAGACCAAGGGUUCCUGUCCAACGUUAAUCGGGGCAGGGUGAGUCGACCCCUAAGGCGAGGCCGAAAGGCGUAGUCGAUGGGAAACAGGUUAAUAUUCCUGU
RNAcentral lists this ribosomal RNA (1025 nucleotides) under Escherichia coli. Its description in RNAcentral is "partial 23S ribosomal RNA". It matches the Rfam family "Bacterial large subunit ribosomal RNA", at positions 418 to 1442 of the family's 2925-position model. The record is from RNAcentral. Lineage: Bacteria; Pseudomonadati; Pseudomonadota; Gammaproteobacteria; Enterobacterales; Enterobacteriaceae.